RNAcentral lists this ribosomal RNA (377 nucleotides) under uncultured eukaryote. Its description in RNAcentral is "partial 18S ribosomal RNA". It matches the Rfam family "Eukaryotic small subunit ribosomal RNA", at positions 592 to 976 of the family's 1831-position model. The record is from RNAcentral.
CAAUAGCGUAUAUUUAAGUUGCUGCAGUUAAAAAGCUCGUAGUUGGAUUUCGGGUGGGAAUGGCCGGUCCGCCGUUUCGGUGUGCACUUGCUACGCCCACCUUGCUGCCGGGGACGUGCUCUUGAGUUCACGCUCGGGACACGGAGUCGGCGAGGUUACUUUGAGUAAAUUAGAGUGUUCAAAGCAGGCCUACGCUCUGAAUACAUUAGCAUGGAAUAACACGAUAGGACUCUGGCCUAUCUUGUUGGUCUGUAGGACCGGAGUAAUGAUUAAGAGGGACAGUCGGGGGCAUUCGUAUUUCAUUGUCAGAGGUGAAAUUCUUGGAUUUAUGAAAGACGAACUACUGCGAAAGCAUUUGCCAUGGAUGUUUUCAUUAA